CAGUAGCCGCGGUAAAACGAGGGGAGCUAGCGUUGCUCGGAAUUACUGGGCGUAAAGCGCGCGUAGGCGGCUUUAUAAGUCAGAGGUGAAAGCCCGGGGCUCAACCCCGGAAUUGCCUUUGAAACUGGAAAGCUAGAAUCUUGGAGAGGUCAGUGGAAUUCCGAGUGUAGAGGUGAGAUUCGUAGAUAUUCGGAAGAACACCAGUGGCGAAGGCGACUGACUGGACAAGUAUUGACGCUGAGGUGCGAAAGCGUGGGGAGCAAACAGGAUUAGAUACCCCUGUAGUCCCUGUCUCUUAUAC
This 301-nucleotide ribosomal RNA is filed under the name uncultured bacterium. RNAcentral describes it as "partial 16S ribosomal RNA". It matches the Rfam family "Bacterial small subunit ribosomal RNA", at positions 509 to 807 of the family's 1533-position model. The record is from RNAcentral.